UGAUUUAAACGACCCAGAGAAAAUACCCAAUUUUACUAUCCAUACUAAGAAACAAAAAGGCAACUAACUCGACGCCAUUUUUCUGCUAUCUAUAAAUAAAUAGAUUGACCUAUCUGGAUUCCCCAACGAUUUCUCUGGGAAAACGUGCCUUCCUUGCCGUCAGAUCGCACACAUCGUUGAUAUUUAUCAAAUUGGUAUUGUUCGUAACAUUUUUAGUCCAUCUCCAGCAUAUAAUAAAAAGAUUUUAACUAUUUUGACUAAUUUCAAAUUUACGGGCCCGGAAGUUGACUGUUUUUCCCGAACUUUUGUUAAAGGGAAGUAAUAUUUUCCCGGACUUUUUCGGAACAUCUCUCCAAGUACGAAAGAAAAUAACAAAGUGAAACGAUGACUUCCGAACUAAUACUAUAUGUUAACAAACAGAUAUGAUGAACAACGAACAAUAUCAAGCCCCUCAUUUGAUUGUUAGCGGUCAUAAUCUUUUAAUUUUCAAAAAUCACACAGUUUUGAUUUUAUGUUAGAAAGGGGAACUGCAAAAUUUGUAAAUAUUGCCCCCCCCUUUUUUUUACUUCAGUUAACAUGACCCAUGUUUUGUAAUGAUUAAAACAAAGUCAAUAACAUUUUCGUGGAAAGAAAAUAUUAGUCAAU
Molecule: long non-coding RNA, 645 nt
Filed under: Mytilus galloprovincialis (Mediterranean mussel)
Lineage: Eukaryota; Metazoa; Mollusca; Bivalvia; Mytilida; Mytilidae
Source: RNAcentral